CCGGUAAACGGCGGCCGUAACUAUAACGGUCCUAAGGUAGCGAAAUUCCUUGUCGGGUAAGUUCCGACCUGCACGAAUGGCGUAAUGAUGGCCAGGCUGUCUCCACCCGAGACUCAGUGAAAUUGAACUCGCUGUGAAGAUGCAGUGUACCCGCGGCAAGACGGAAAGACCCCGUGAACCUUUACUAUAGCUUGACACUGAACAUUGAGCCUUGAUGUGUAGGAUAGGUGGGAGGCUUUGAAGUGUGGACGCCAGUCUGCAUGGAGCCGACCUUGAAAUACCACCCUUUAAUGUUUGAUGUUCUAACGUUGACCCGUAAUCCGGGUUGCGGACAGUGUCUGGUGGGUAGUUUGACUGGGGCGGUCUCCUCCUAAAGAGUAACGGAGGAGCACGAAGGUUGGCUAAUCCUGGUCGGACAUCAGGAGGUUAGUGCAAUGGCAUAAGCCAGCUUGACUGCGAGCGUGACGGCGCGAGCAGGUGCGAAAGCAGGUCAUAGUGAUCCGGUGGUUCUGAAUGGAAGGGCCAUCGCUCAACGGAUAAAAGGUACUCCGGGGAUAACAGGCUGAUACCGCCCAAGAGUUCAUAUCGACGGCGGUGUUUGGCACCUCGAUGUCGGCUCAUCACAUCCUGGGGCUGAAGUAGGUCCCAAGGGUAUGGCUGUUCGCCAUUUAAAGUGGUACGCGAGCUGGGUUUAGAACGUCGUGAGACAGUUCGGUCCCUAUCUGCCGUGGGCGCUGGAGAACUGAGGGGGGCUGCUCCUAGUACGAGAGGACCGGAGUGGACGCAUCACUGGUGUUCGGGUUGUCAUGCCAAUGGCACUGCCCGGUAGCUAAAUGCGGAAGAGAUAAGUGCUGAAAGCAUCUAAGCACGAAACUUGCCCCGAGAUGAGUUCUCCCUGACUCCUUGAGAGUCCUGAAGGAACGUUGAAGACGACGACGUUGAUAGGCCGGGUGUGUAAGCGCAGCGAUGCGUUGAGCUAACCGGUACUAAUGAACCGUGAGGCUUAACCUUACAACGCCGAAGCUGUU
Molecule: ribosomal RNA, 1028 nt
Filed under: Escherichia coli
Lineage: Bacteria; Pseudomonadati; Pseudomonadota; Gammaproteobacteria; Enterobacterales; Enterobacteriaceae
Description: partial 23S ribosomal RNA
Rfam family: Bacterial large subunit ribosomal RNA
Source: RNAcentral